This 243-nucleotide long non-coding RNA is filed under the name Helianthus annuus (common sunflower). RNAcentral's name for it is "sRNA HanXRQr2_Chr03g0122451". Lineage: Eukaryota; Viridiplantae; Streptophyta; Magnoliopsida; Asterales; Asteraceae. The record is from RNAcentral.
GGUUGUUGAGAUGAGCCAUCAACAAUGUGUAUACCAGAGCCGAACAUCUUUCGGUAUGCCUAAGAAACUCAUGGCCCAAACCAAAACCUCUGUGUGCACCUUCAAGUAAACCUGGAAGAUCGGCUACAACUAUAGUUGCAUCGUAAUCAAAUGAUACCACACCCAGAUUCGGAAGCAAUGUGGUAAAAGGGUAAUUUGCAAUGUUUGGUUGAGCAGCACUGAUAACACUUAGGAAUGUGCUUU